CCAAUAGCGUAUAUUAAAGUUGUUGCAGUUAAAAAGCUCGUAGUUGAAUUUCGGGAUCAAUAUGUCGGUCGUUCCAUCGGUACGUACUGGUAUCAUUGGUUUCUCCUUUCUGACGAACCAUGAUGUCAUUAAUUUGGUGUUAUGGGAAGUUAGGACUGUUACUUUGAAAAAAUUAGAGUGUUUAAAGCAGGCUUUGGCUU
RNAcentral lists this ribosomal RNA (200 nucleotides) under uncultured Glomus. RNAcentral's name for it is "partial small subunit ribosomal RNA". It matches the Rfam family "Eukaryotic small subunit ribosomal RNA", at positions 591 to 796 of the family's 1831-position model. The record is from RNAcentral. Lineage: Eukaryota; Fungi; Glomeromycota; Glomeromycetes; Glomerales; Glomeraceae.